This 431-nucleotide RNase P RNA is filed under the name Sulfoacidibacillus thermotolerans. RNAcentral describes it as "Bacterial RNase P class A". It matches the Rfam family "Bacterial RNase P class A". Rfam says of the family: Ribonuclease P (RNase P) is a ubiquitous endoribonuclease, found in archaea, bacteria and eukarya as well as chloroplasts and mitochondria. Lineage: Bacteria; Bacillati; Bacillota; Bacilli; Caryophanales; Alicyclobacillaceae. The record is from Rfam by way of RNAcentral.
GGAAGUAACCAAGGCAAUCGCCGGCGCAGUACCGAAAGGUCGCGCGGGAGGAAAGUCCGAGCUCCAUAGGGCAGGGUGCUGGGUAAUCCCCAGUGGGAGUGAUCCUAAGGAAAGUGCCACAGACAUGUAGACCGCCGAUGGCGUUCGUUAUGUAGAGCGCACAGGCAAGGAUGCAACGGUGCGGUAAGAGCGCACCAGCGAUGCGAAGACGCAUUGGCUAGGUAAACCCCACCUGGAGCAAGACCGCAUAGGAGUGCAUUGUGGCGGCCCGUCACGCACUCGGGUAGGUUGCUUGAGCGGCGCGGUAACGCGUCGCCUAGAUAGAUGAUUGCCGCCUCAUGCCGUGCGAGGCGAGAGUGGCCUAUAAGGGCGAAACAUCGCCGUUUGCAGCACGCGAGGAACAGAACUCGGCUUAUCGGUUGCUUCUUUCA